AACACUAAAACACACCUCUACCUGAUUCUUUAGGUGAUGUUUACCUAGCAAACAUAUUGAAAAUGUUUAUUUAUAAUACAGUACAUACAUCUGCACUCUCUUGAACACCUAAUAUUGUGUCUCCCAUUGCUGGCGUGCAAUGUUUACUUACUGAAUGAUUGAAUAAGGUAGUUCCAGAAAAAAUAUACAUGUGGCCGGGCGUAAUCCCACCUACUCAGGAGGCUGAGGCAGGAGAAUCGCUUGAACCCAGGAGGCAGAGGUUGCAGUGAGCCGAGAUCGUGCCACUGCACUCCAGCCUGGGCGACAGAGCAAGACUCCGUCUCGAAAAAAAAAAAAAAAGUCAAAUUUCAGCAUUCAGGUCAGGUGCGGUGGCUCACGCCUGUAAUCCUAGCACUUUGGGAGGCCAAGGCGGGCGGAUCACUUGAGGUCAGGAGUUUGAGACCAGCC
Molecule: long non-coding RNA, 447 nt
Filed under: Homo sapiens (human)
Lineage: Eukaryota; Metazoa; Chordata; Mammalia; Primates; Hominidae
Description: HSALNT0343756
Source: RNAcentral